GCAAGUCGAGCGCUACCUUCGGGUGGAGCGGCGGACGGGUUAGUAACGCGUGGGAAUAUACCCAGUUCUAAGGAAUAGCCACUGGAAACGGUGAGUAAUACCUUAUACGCCCUUCGGGGGAAAGAUUUAUCGCCAAAGGAUUGGCCCGCGUAAGAUUAGAUAGUUGGUGGGUAAUGGCCUACCAAGUCUACGAUCUUUAGCUGGUUUUAGAGGAUGAUC
RNAcentral lists this ribosomal RNA (219 nucleotides) under uncultured bacterium. RNAcentral describes it as "partial 16S ribosomal RNA". It matches the Rfam family "Bacterial small subunit ribosomal RNA", at positions 57 to 305 of the family's 1533-position model. The record is from RNAcentral.